GGGGAAGGUCUCUGUUUCAUUAGCUUUCAAGUCUAUUUUAACAGGCAGACUCAAGGUUGAGCAUGAAAUGAUUAUGAUUUGUUUCCACUGCCUAGAGACACAGGAUUUGUCUGUGCAGUGGUCACAGCCACAGGAACAAGGUAUAUGGGCAGUAAAGGAUGCAGGAGGAACACCAGCUGCAGCUCAACAGUCCCACCAUAAACAAGGUCUUUUCAAGGAAGAACAUGAACAAUGAAAGAUCAAAAGAAACAGAUCAAUGAAAAUGAACGAAGACCAUGGACUAACACUAUUUUG
This 294-nucleotide long non-coding RNA is filed under the name Anser brachyrhynchus (Pink-footed goose). RNAcentral describes it as "lncRNA (ENSABRG00000016057.1)". Lineage: Eukaryota; Metazoa; Chordata; Aves; Anseriformes; Anatidae. The record is from RNAcentral.